UUAAGAUUAAAAUUGCCGGUUUUCUACUGGCUAAAAUAACGGAGAGACUUAAUGGCACGUAUUGCUGGUAUUAACAUACCUGAU
Cycloclasticus sp. Phe_18 is the source of this 84-nucleotide non-coding RNA. NCBI's taxonomy places the organism in Bacteria, Pseudomonadati, Pseudomonadota, Gammaproteobacteria, Thiotrichales, Piscirickettsiaceae. The record is from Rfam.